AGCGUACACGGUGGAUGCCCUGGCAGUCAGAGGCGAUGAAGGACGUGCUAAUCUGCGAAAAGCGUCGGUAAGGUGAUAUGAACCGUUACAGCCGGCGAUGUCCGAAUGGGGAAACCCAGUGUGAUUCGUCACACUAUCGUUAACUGAAUACAUAGGUUAACGAGGCGAACCGGGGGAACUGAAACAUCUAAGUACCCCGAGGAAAAGAAAUCAACCGAGAUUCCCCCAGUAGCGGCGAGCGAACGGGGAGCAGCCCAGAGUCUGAAUCAGCUUGUGUGUUAGUGGAACGGUCUGGAAAGUCCGACGGUACAGGGUGAUAGUCCCGUACACCAAAAUGCACAGGCUGUGAACUCGAAGAGUAGGGCGGGACACGUGGUAUCCUGUCUGAAUAUGGGGGGACCAUCCUCCAAGGCUAAAUACUCCUGACUGACCGAUAGUGAACCAGUACCGUGAGGGAAAGGCGAAAAGAACCCCGGCGAGGGGAGUGAAAAAGAACCUGAAACCGUGUACGUACAAGCAGUGGGAGCACCUUCGGGUGUGACUGCGUACCUUUUGUAUAAUGGGUCAGCGACUUAUAUUCUGUAGCAAGGUUAACCGUAUAGGGGAGCCGCAGGGAAACCGAGUCUUAACUGGGCGUUAAGUUGCAGGGUAUAGACCCGAAACCCGGUGAUCUAGCCAUGGGCAGGUUGAAGGUUGGGUAACACUAACUGGAGGACCGAACCGACUAAUGUUGAAAAAUUAGCGGAUGACUUGUGGCUGGGGGUGAAAGGCCAAUCAAACCGGGAGAUAGCUGGUUCUCCCCGAAAGCUAUUUAGGUAGCGCCUCGUGAAUUCAUCUUCGGGGGUAGAGCACUGUUUCGGCUAGGGGGUCAUCCCGACUUACCAACCCGAUGCAAACUACGAAUACCGAAGAAUGUUAUCACGGGAGACACACGGCGGGUGCUAACGUCCGUCGUGAAGAGGGAAACAACCCAGACCGCCAGCUAAGGUCCCAAAGUCAUGGUUAAGUGGGAAACGAUGUGGGAAGGCACAGACAGCCAGGAUGUUGGCUUAGAAGCAGCCAUCAUUUAAAGAAAGCGUAAUAGCUCACUGGUCGAGUCGGCCUGCGCGGAAGAUGUAACGGGGCUAAACCAUGCACCGAAGCUGCGGCAGCGACACUAUGUGUUGUUGGGUAGGGGAGCGUUCUGUAAGCCUGCGAAGGUGUGCUGUGAGGCAUGCUGGAGGUAUCAGAAGUGCGAAUGCUGACAUAAGUAACGAUAAAGCGGGUGAAAAGCCCGCUCGCCGGAAGACCAAGGGUUCCUGUCCAACGUUAAUCGGGGCAGGGUGAGUCGACCCCUAAGGCGAGGCCGAAAGGCGUAGUCGAUGGGAAACAGGUUAAUAUUCCUGUACUUGGUGUUACUGCGAAGGGGGGACGGAGAAGGCUAUGUUAGCCGGGCGACGGUUGUCCCGGUUUAAGCAUGUAGGCUGAUUAUCCAGGCAAAUCCGGAUAAUCAAGGCUGAGGUGUGAUGACGAGGCACUACGGUGCUGAAGUAACAAAUGCCCUGCUUCCAGGAAAAGCCUCUAAGCAUCAGGUAACAUCAAAUCGUACCCCAAACCGACACAGGUGGUCAGGUAGAGAAUACCAAGGCGCUUGAGAGAACUCGGGUGAAGGAACUAGGCAAAAUGGUGCCGUAACUUCGGGAGAAGGCACGCUGGUGUGUAGGUGAAGUCCCUGCGGAUGGAGCUGAGACCAGUCGAAGAUACCAGCUGGCUGCAACUGUUUAUUAAAAACACAGCACUGUGCAAACACGAAAGUGGACGUAUACGGUGUGACGCCUGCCCGGUGCCGGAAGGUUAAUUGAUGGGGUUAUCCGUAAGGAGAAGCUCUUGAUCGAAGCCCCGGUAAACGGCGGCCGUAACUAUAACGGUCCUAAGGUAGCGAAAUUCCUUGUCGGGUAAGUUCCGACCUGCACGAAUGGCGUAAUGAUGGCCAGGCUGUCUCCACCCGAGACUCAGUGAAAUUGAACUCGCUGUGAAGAUGCAGUGUACCCGCGGCAAGACGGAAAGACCCCGUGAACCUUUACUAUAGCUUGACACUGAACAUUGAGCCUUGAUGUGUAGGAUAGGUGGGAGGCUUUGAAGCGUGGACGCCAGUCUGCGUGGAGCCAACCUUGAAAUACCACCCUUUAAUGUUUGAUGUUCUAACGUUGGCCCCUUACCGGGGUUGCGGACAGUGUCUGGUGGGUAGUUUGACUGGGGCGGUCUCCUCCCAAAGCGUAACGGAGGAGCACGAAGGUUAGCUAAUCCUGGUCGGACAUCAGGAGGUUAGUGCAAUGGCAUAAGCUAGCUUGACUGCGAGCGUGACGGCGCGAGCAGGUGCGAAAGCAGGUCAUAGUGAUCCGGUGGUUCUGAAUGGAAGGGCCAUCGCUCAACGGAUAAAAGGUACUCCGGGGAUAACAGGCUGAUACCGCCCAAGAGUUCAUAUCGACGGCGGUGUUUGGCACCUCGAUGUCGGCUCAUCACAUCCUGGGGCUGAAGUAGGUCCCAAGGGUAUGGCUGUUCGCCAUUUAAAGUGGUACGCGAGCUGGGUUUAGAACGUCGUGAGACAGUUCGGUCCCUAUCUGCCGUGGGCGCUGGAGAAUUGAGGGGGGCUGCUCCUAGUACGAGAGGACCGGAGUGGACGCAUCACUGGUGUUCGGGUUGUCAUGCCAAUGGCACUGCCCGGUAGCUAAAUGCGGAAGAGAUAAGUGCUGAAAGCAUCUAAGCACGAAACUUGCCCCGAGAUGAGUUCU
Molecule: ribosomal RNA, 2771 nt
Filed under: Klebsiella pneumoniae
Lineage: Bacteria; Pseudomonadati; Pseudomonadota; Gammaproteobacteria; Enterobacterales; Enterobacteriaceae
Description: bacterial LSU rRNA
Rfam family: Bacterial large subunit ribosomal RNA
Source: RNAcentral